This 433-nucleotide ribosomal RNA is filed under the name uncultured bacterium. Its description in RNAcentral is "partial 16S ribosomal RNA". It matches the Rfam family "Bacterial small subunit ribosomal RNA", at positions 29 to 507 of the family's 1533-position model. The record is from RNAcentral.
AACGAACGCUGGCGGCAUGCCUAACACAUGCGAGUCGAACGAAGGCUUCGGCCUUAGUGGCGCACGGGUGCGUAACGCGUGGGAAUCUGCCCUUGGGUUCGGAAUAACGUCGGGAAACUGACGCUAAUACCGGAUGAUGACGUAAGUCCAAAGAUUUAUCGCCCAAGGAUGAGCCCGCGUCGGAUUAGCUAGUUGGUGAGGUAAAAGCUCACCAAGGCGACGAUCCGUAGCUGGUCUGAGAGGAUGAUCAGCCACACUGGGACUGAGACACGGCCCAGACUCCUACGGGAGGCAGCAGUGGGGAAUAUUGGACAAUGGGCGAAAGCCUGAUCCAGCAAUGCCGCGUGAGUGAUGAAGGCCGUAGGGUUGUAAAGCUCUUUUACCCGGGAUGAUAAUGACCGUACCGGGAGAAUAAGCACCGGCUAACUCCGUG